GACGAACGCUGGCGGCGUGCUUAACACAUGCAAGUCGAACGGAAAGGCCCUGCUUUUGUGGGGUGCUCGAGUGGCGAACGGGUGAGUAACACGUGAGUAACCUGCCCUUGACUUUGGGAUAACUUCAGGAAACUGGGGCUAAUACCGGAUAGGAGCUCCUGCUGCAUGGUGGGGGUUGGAAAGUUUCGGCGGUUGGGGAUGGACUCGCGGCUUAUCAGCUUGUUGGUGGGGUAGUGGCUUACCAAGGCUUUGACGGGUAGCCGGCCUGAGAGGGUGACCGGCCACAUUGGGACUGAGAUACGGCCCAGACUCCUACGGGAGGCAGCAGUGGGGAAUAUUGCACAAUGGGCGGAAGCCUGAUGCAGCAACGCCGCGUGCGGGAUGACGGCCUUCGGGUUGAAAACCGCUUUCGCCUGUGGCGAAGCGUGAGUGACGGUAAUGGGUAAAGAAGCACCGGCUAACUACGUG
Molecule: ribosomal RNA, 468 nt
Filed under: uncultured bacterium
Lineage: Bacteria
Description: partial 16S ribosomal RNA
Rfam family: Bacterial small subunit ribosomal RNA
Source: RNAcentral